GAGGGUAUAGCUCAGUGAUAGAGGGAGUGCUUUGCAUGCACCAGGUCCUGGGUUCAACCCCGAGUACCGCCA
RNAcentral lists this transfer RNA (72 nucleotides) under Camelus dromedarius (Arabian camel). It matches the Rfam family "tRNA". From Rfam's summary of the family: Transfer RNA (tRNA) molecules are approximately 80 nucleotides in length. RNAcentral also lists the same sequence under 1 other name. Lineage: Eukaryota; Metazoa; Chordata; Mammalia; Artiodactyla; Camelidae. The record is from Rfam by way of RNAcentral.